UACGUAGGGUGCGAGCGUUAUUCGGAAUUACUGGGCGUAAAGCGUGCGUAGGCGGUCCGCGAAGUCUGAUGUGAAAUCCCCGAGCUCAACUCGGGAACUGCGUCCGAUACUGGUGGGCUUGAAUCCGGGAGAGGGAUGCGGAAUUCCAGGUGUAGCGGUGAAAUGCGUAGAUAUCUGGAGGAACACCGGUGGCGAAGGCGGCAUCCUGGACCGGCAUUGACGCUGAGGCGCGAAAGCUAGGGGAGCAAACGGG
This 253-nucleotide ribosomal RNA is filed under the name uncultured bacterium. Its description in RNAcentral is "partial 16S ribosomal RNA". It matches the Rfam family "Bacterial small subunit ribosomal RNA", at positions 524 to 776 of the family's 1533-position model. The record is from RNAcentral.